RNAcentral lists this ribosomal RNA (598 nucleotides) under uncultured Alphaproteobacteria bacterium. RNAcentral describes it as "bacterial SSU rRNA". It matches the Rfam family "Bacterial small subunit ribosomal RNA", at positions 28 to 674 of the family's 1533-position model. The record is from RNAcentral. Lineage: Bacteria; Pseudomonadati; Pseudomonadota; Alphaproteobacteria.
AACGAACGNCUGGCGGCAGGCUAACACAUGCAAGUCGAACGCCCCGCAAGGGGAGUGGCAGACGGGUGAGUAACGCGUGGGAAUCUACCCAGUUCUACGGAACAACACAGGGAAACUUGUGCUAAUACCGUAUACGCCCUACGGGGGAAAGAUUUAUCGGAAUUGGAUGAGCCCGCGUAAGAUUAGCUAGUUGGUGGGGUAAUGGCCUACCAAGGCGACGAUCUUUAGCUGGUCUGAGAGGAUGAUCAGCCACACUGGGACUGAGACACGGCCCAGACUCCUACGGGAGGCAGCAGUGGGGAAUAUUGGACAAUGGGCGCAAGCCUGAUCCAGCCAUGCCGCGUGAGUGAUGAAGGCCUUAGGGUUGUAAAGCUCUUUCAGUGGGGACGAUAAUGACGGUACCCACAGAAGAAGCCCCGGCUAACUUCGUGCCAGCAGCCGCGGUAAUACGAAGGGGGCUAGCGUUGUUCGGAUUUACUGGGCGUAAAGCGCACGUAGGCGGAUCGUUAAGUCGGGGGUGAAAUCCUGGAGCUCAACUCCAGAACUGCCUUCGAUACUGGCGAUCUUAAGUCCGGAAGAGGUGAGUGGAACUCCUAGU